This 435-nucleotide ribosomal RNA is filed under the name uncultured bacterium. RNAcentral describes it as "partial 16S ribosomal RNA". It matches the Rfam family "Bacterial small subunit ribosomal RNA", at positions 28 to 507 of the family's 1533-position model. The record is from RNAcentral.
GAUGAACGCUGGCGGUAUGCUUAACACAUGCAAGUCGAACGGACUCUUCGGAGUUAGUGGCGGACGGGUGAGUAACGCGUGAGAAUCUGGCUUUGGGUUCGGGACAACCACUGGAAACGGUGGCUAAUACCGGAUGUGCCGAGAGGUAAAAGAGAAAUUGCCUGAAGAUGAGCUCGCGUCUGAUUAGCUAGUUGGUGAGGUAAAGGCUCACCAAGGCAGCGAUCAGUAGCUGGUCUGAGAGGAUGACCAGCCACACUGGGACUGAGACACGGCCCAGACUCCUACGGGAGGCAGCAGUGGGGAAUGUUCCGCAAAGGGCGAAAGCCUGACGGAGCAAUACCGCGUGAGGGAAGAAGGCUCUUGGGAUGUAAACCUCUUUUCUUAGGGAAGAACAAAAUGACGGUACCUAAGGAAUCAGCAUCGGCUAACUCCGUG